RNAcentral lists this ribosomal RNA (702 nucleotides) under Streptomyces sp. RNAcentral's name for it is "bacterial SSU rRNA". It matches the Rfam family "Bacterial small subunit ribosomal RNA", at positions 95 to 811 of the family's 1533-position model. The record is from RNAcentral. Lineage: Bacteria; Bacillati; Actinomycetota; Actinomycetes; Kitasatosporales; Streptomycetaceae.
GUGGCGAACGGGUGAGUAACACGUGGGCAACCUGCCCUGCACUCUGGGAUAACUUCGGGAAACCGGAGCUAAUACCGGAUAAUAUCCUCUUCCGCAUGGUGGGGGGUUGAAAGUUCCGGCGGUGCAGGAUGGGCCCGCGGCCUAUCAGCUUGUUGGUGGGGUAGUGGCCUACCAAGGCGACGACGGGUAGCCGGCCUGAGAGGGCGACCGGCCACACUGGGACUGAGACACGGCCCAGACUCCUACGGGAGGCAGCAGUGGGGAAUAUUGCGCAAUGGGCGAAAGCCUGACGCAGCGACGCCGCGUGAGGGAUGACGGCCUUCGGGUUGUAAACCUCUUUCAGCAGGGAAGAAGCGAGAGUGACGGUACCUGCAGAAGAAGCACCGGCUAACUACGUGCCAGCAGCCGCGGUAAUACGUAGGGUGCGAGCGUUGUCCGGAAUUAUUGGGCGUAAAGAGCUCGUAGGCGGCUUGUCGCGUCGGAUGUGAAAACCCGGGGCUUAACCCCGGGCCUGCAUUCGAUACGGGCAGGCUGGAGUUCGGCAGGGGAGACUGGAAUUCCUGGUGUAGCGGUGAAAUGCGCAGAUAUCAGGAGGAACACCGGUGGCGAAGGCGGGUCUCUGGGCCGAUACUGACGCUGAGGAGCGAAAGCGUGGGGAGCGAACAGGAUUAGAUACCCUGGUAGUCCACGCCGUAAACGUUG